Molecule: ribosomal RNA, 165 nt
Filed under: Sindora siamensis
Lineage: Eukaryota; Viridiplantae; Streptophyta; Magnoliopsida; Fabales; Fabaceae
Description: 5.8S ribosomal RNA
Rfam family: 5.8S ribosomal RNA
About the family: 5.8S ribosomal RNA (5.8S rRNA) is a component of the large subunit of the eukaryotic ribosome. It is transcribed by RNA polymerase I as part of the 45S precursor that also contains 18S and 28S rRNA.
Source: RNAcentral
AACGACUCUCGGCAACGGAUAUCUCGGCUCUCGCAUCGAUGAAGAACGUAGCGAAAUGCGAUACUUGGUGUGAAUUGCAGAAUCCCGCGAACCAUCGAGUCUUUGAACGCAAGUUGCGCCCGAAGCCAUCAGGCCGAGGGCACGUCUGGCUGGGCGUCACGCAAC